UACGUAGGGUGCAAGCGUUAAUCGGAAUUACUGGGCGUAAAGCGUGCGCAGGCGGUUUUGUAAGUCUGAUGUGAAAUCCCCGGGCUCAACCUGGGAAUUGCAUUGGAGACUGCAAGGCUAGAAUCUGGCAGAGGGGGGUAGAAUUCCGCGUGUAGCAGUGAAAUGCGUAGAUAUGUGGAAGAACACCGAUGGCGAAGGCAGC
Molecule: ribosomal RNA, 202 nt
Filed under: uncultured prokaryote
Description: partial 16S ribosomal RNA
Rfam family: Bacterial small subunit ribosomal RNA
Source: RNAcentral